RNAcentral lists this transfer RNA (69 nucleotides) under Rattus norvegicus (Norway rat). It matches the Rfam family "tRNA". From Rfam's summary of the family: Transfer RNA (tRNA) molecules are approximately 80 nucleotides in length. Their secondary structure includes four short double-helical elements and three loops (D, anti-codon, and T loops). The record is from Rfam by way of RNAcentral. Lineage: Eukaryota; Metazoa; Chordata; Mammalia; Rodentia; Muridae.
GGGGAUUUAGCUCAGCGUUAGAGCAUUUGCCUAGCAAGCGCAAGGCCCUGGGUUCGGUCCCCAGCUCCA